RNAcentral lists this ribosomal RNA (243 nucleotides) under Deltaproteobacteria bacterium. RNAcentral's name for it is "partial 23S ribosomal RNA". It matches the Rfam family "Bacterial large subunit ribosomal RNA", at positions 2698 to 2925 of the family's 2925-position model. The record is from RNAcentral. Lineage: Bacteria; Pseudomonadati; Myxococcota; Myxococcia.
UGGACAGACCUCUGGUGAUCCGGUUGUUCCGCCAGGAGCAUUGCCGGGUAGCUACGUCUGGAACGGAUAACCGCUGAAAGCAUCUAAGCGGGAAGCCGGCUCCAAGAGUGAUCUCCCGGACCAUUAGGUCCCCAAAGGCCGCAGGAAGAUUACCUGUUUGAUAGGCCGGAAGUGGAAGCAUGGCAACAUGUGAAGCUGACUGGUACUAAUUGGCCGGGCGACCUGACUUAAUACAAGAUCAAA